GGGAGGAUGGCCGAGCGGACGAAGGCGACGGUCUUGAAAACCGUUAGCGGGGCAACUCGCUCGUGGGUUCGAAUCCCACUCCUCCCG
RNAcentral lists this transfer RNA (87 nucleotides) under Planctomycetaceae bacterium. RNAcentral describes it as "tRNA-Ser". It matches the Rfam family "tRNA". Rfam says of the family: Transfer RNA (tRNA) molecules are approximately 80 nucleotides in length. RNAcentral also lists the same sequence under 3 other names. The record is from RNAcentral. Lineage: Bacteria; Pseudomonadati; Planctomycetota; Planctomycetia; Planctomycetales; Planctomycetaceae.